Non-coding RNA from Peromyscus maniculatus bairdii (prairie deer mouse), 2510 nucleotides. NCBI's taxonomy places the organism in Eukaryota, Metazoa, Chordata, Mammalia, Rodentia, Cricetidae. The record is from RefSeq and is a predicted model, not a curated record.
AAGACUGCCUCCUCCGGCCAGUCCUGCAGGACGGCCAGCCGGGGCCUGUUUCCUGAGCCGUUGCCUGGAUACGGAAAACUAUGAGAACAUGGGGGAUGAUAGCUUGGCCUCCUACACAAGGGACAGGAACGGCUCAGUCUGACCAUAAGCUUAUUUCCUUUAAAGGAGGUGACAUGAGCCAAGGGCCUCUUUCCCUCCCUGUUCCUAAUAUGAUACUGUAACCAGGCCGAGAUGAUAGGGUGUGCUGGAAAUGGGGGCGCUUUGCCCUGUGGCUCACAGAAAAGGAGGAGCCUCCUGUGGACUGCCCCCUAGACUACAACUGAUGGGCCACAGACCCUAAAGGAAAGAAGUGCCAGGGCCCUGGCCCUGCAGCUCUUUGGGGAACUAACAAGCUCCAGGUGCAUCUGACACUGAAGGAAACCCAGGUCGCCGCCCCUUCCAUCCGUGACUGUCAGGCCUCUAUGCAUGCCGUGGACCUAAUUCUAAGCCACGGGAAUGACCUGGCGACUAGACGUUAUACGUGGGGGGAGGGGGGAGGGGGGAGAGACAAGCUAGUCAGCUUAGCUACGUGGUGUCAGUUAAGAACCUCUUCAUCGCUGUGUUCCUCUGCAAACAUGCAACUGGUUUUAAAAAGAGGAAUGGAAAUGUUCUCCCCACAGGCCGGGCCCACAUUUACAGCCACAUGCCUCUGUGUUCAUCCAUCCUGUACCUGUGGCGAUGGCCCUGGGUAUUCUUCCUCAACACGUGGCACAGAACAGUUUCCUCUUGGACACAGCGGUGACAGAGGUCAUAGCACCAGAGUCCCUUACUAAGAGUAUGCCCCUCGAAGCUCCCAGAAACAGCAGCAGCAGCAGCAGCAGCAGCAGCAGCAGCAGAUAUCUGCAGAUUCCCAGAGCCUAGAGUUGGAUUAUUUCUUAAGGUCUCCCCUUCUUGACCCUACAGCUUCCUGGGCAUCUGUAUAACUUUACCUGCAUCUCUCCAACUCUGAGGGACUGCCGGAAUCGGCCCUGGACCCUCUCACUGCACUGUACUAGGGUGCUCAGCUGGCUCACAUCAUUCCUCUCCCUUGCUCAGGACCACAGCACUGUGUCAAGAGCAUCUGACGUCUGAAAACUACCGCCACGACCCAGGCCAUUGUUCUGCAGGAACUCCAGUGGAUGACAAGGAUCAGGGUCCUCGACCUCUCUGAGCCUCAAGUGUCCUCUCCUCUAAGGUUGGUAUGAAGUUUAACUGAGAUGCAAAACUAUCUUGGACCAUAUUUUGACCAGUGCCGUAUACGAGCAUAAGUAACUUACUAUCUAACAGCACAAACAGGCCAUCUUAUAGAAGGAGCCCAGGAACGGCACCAGUACUCUUGACACCUAGAGCGGUCAACUAUUUUUGUGGGAAAGGGUUGUCUCUUUUUUAGAAAUAGGGAGAAAAAUUGCUUCUAUUUUAGCAAAGACAAAAUCUGUCAUUCUACCUACAGUCUUGUUCCAACAGGUCUGAGGCUUCCAGAGUAACAACAACAACAACAAAAAGUCAAAACUUUAAGUCUGUGUGAAAAUGACCUGACUCCAUCUCAGGCCUGCUGAGUGAGCUUUGAGCAGGUUACCAAACCACUCUGAAGAAAGGCCCUGGCUUAUUGUAAGCCUGUUUGUGGGUGCUGGGCCAGCCAUUGGUCUCCGAUAAACUAAAUCCUUACAAGUGAGGCCAUUGCUUGUCUGUAGAGGGAACUAUCUGGACCAAUCGUUCCACUCUGACAUCUCAGAAUAGACUUUUAAAAAUAUCCCUUCAUGUGCCUCCUGUGAACAUGAAGCUUUCGGCUCUUCUCCCGCCGAGGACUGAAGUGGGGCCGGCUAGAGCAACCCACUGGCUCCCAGCCUGGAGCAAUAUCCCUGCUGCUGCUGAGUCAAUGCACAGCAUGCUGGGACCGCCUGGCUAAUCCUGUGGGUGUGGCCACCUCACACAGGCCAGCCCAGGCUGCCUGGCACUGUCUGCUGACAGGCCCUAAGCAAUAGAACAGCAGAAGCCAAGUGGGAACAUGUGUUUGUACUGCCAGUCUCCAUGGCAACAGGUAAGUCAGCACAGAGAACAUCCUCAAACUGGCAGAAAAACCCUCAGCCCCACCCUGAAAAGCCUCCCCUCCCUGGGCAGCCAGCAGAUCCCCAAGGCUAAAUCCCUAGCGGAAAAGCCAAAUGCACAGAUAUUUUGCACAAACAUACAGCUUAUUCCCAAAUGUCUUUCCCUCCUAAAAUGUACAGGUAACUUGACCGGCACAGAUACAUCUCUGGAUGUAUCUUUGGCUUGGUGGAAAUGUCUAGAGAGCCAAAGGUUAUGCAUAGUUCUGGGCAUGCUCUUAGUAGAGUAAGUACAGGGAAGAUGGAAAAGCAUCCUCUGCUCCAUGCUGAGCUGACGCAGGCCAGAAUUUCAAGACAGUAAGCAACUAUACAGAGAGACAUCUUCAGUGCAGAGAAAUGAUCUCAUUAAAAAAAAAAACCUGGCCGGGCGGUGGUGGCGCACGCCUUUAA